Molecule: transfer RNA, 72 nt
Filed under: Melampsora pinitorqua Mpini7
Lineage: Eukaryota; Fungi; Basidiomycota; Pucciniomycetes; Pucciniales; Melampsoraceae
Description: tRNA-Arg (TCT) (tRNA-Arg-TCT-3-1)
Rfam family: tRNA
About the family: Transfer RNA (tRNA) molecules are approximately 80 nucleotides in length. Their secondary structure includes four short double-helical elements and three loops (D, anti-codon, and T loops). Further hydrogen bonds mediate the characteristic L-shaped molecular structure. tRNAs have two regions of fundamental functional importance: the anti-codon, which is responsible for specific mRNA codon recognition, and the 3' end, to which the tRNAs corresponding amino acid is attached (by aminoacyl-tRNA synthetases). tRNAs cope with the degeneracy of the genetic code in two manners: having more than one tRNA (with a specific anti-codon) for a particular amino acid; and 'wobble' base-pairing, i.e. permitting non-standard base-pairing at the 3rd anti-codon position.
Source: RNAcentral
GGGGACGUAGCUCAUUGGUAGAGCAAUGCACUUCUAAUGCACUGGUAGCGGGUUCGAUUCCCGCCGUCUCCA